GAGAGAGGCCCGAUGCAACAGGGACUGCUAAUCCCUGCCCCCAUGGUUAAACUCCAUGGCUCACUCG
Molecule: transfer RNA, 67 nt
Filed under: Hypoptopoma incognitum
Lineage: Eukaryota; Metazoa; Chordata; Actinopteri; Siluriformes; Loricariidae
Description: tRNA-Ser
Source: RNAcentral